Molecule: long non-coding RNA, 255 nt
Filed under: Phaseolus vulgaris (common bean)
Lineage: Eukaryota; Viridiplantae; Streptophyta; Magnoliopsida; Fabales; Fabaceae
Description: long non-coding RNA (PVUL_LNC004622)
Source: RNAcentral
CCCCACCUGUCGUGAGGAGAAGCCGAGAGCACCAGCCUAGAAGAGUAGCCGAGAGCACCAGCCUAGAAGAGAAGCCGAGAGCACCUGCCUAGAAGAGAAGCCGAUAACACCAGCCUAGAGGAGAAGCCGAGAGUGUCAGCCGAGAGCAUUAACCGAGAGUACCAGCCAAGAGAAGAAGUCAGGAGUUCCCACCAAGGAAAGAAAUUAAGUCUUGUUAACCUUUUUCGAGUAUUCUUGGUCCUUGUUGUAAGAACA